RNA transcript from Ruditapes philippinarum (Manila clam), 4431 nucleotides. RefSeq lists it as uncharacterized. Lineage: Eukaryota; Metazoa; Mollusca; Bivalvia; Venerida; Veneridae. The record is from RefSeq and is a predicted model, not a curated record. The transcript is spliced from 7 exons.
AUGACCCAAUUUAGAAGUAUGUCAACAUGAAAAUUUUCUGAGAAAAUCGUGCAUUUUCUCGGAGAAAGAAGUACUGAUGCCAAAUGAAGUAUGCAGCGAAUUAAAAUGCUAAAUUUUUUACGUAGAUGGUGCUACUUUAAAUAACUUUUGAAUGUGAUAGUUUCCAACAUGAAGGAAGAAGAGGAGUCCAAAUCUUACAAGAUGAUGGACAAUAUACCGUUCCAGUAUGUGUCACUUAGCAUGUAUUAUAAGCUAGCCAAUAAACUUGAUCCUGAUAGUUCUGUCGUGGGCAACAAUUGGCGCUUGUUGGCAGAAAAACUUGGAUAUUCUACUCAAGAUAUAUUUGUGUUCGAAAGUCAGCAGUCACAACAUGGGAGGAAUACUAUUAAAGUGUUACAAGACUACAGCCAGAAACAGGGUAGUACUGUCAAUCAGGUGUACGACGCUCUAGAAGAAAUCGACAGACCAGAUGCUCUUGAUGAACUCAGAGAGGGAAUUCCAGAAAUUGAGAAGAGUUAUCGUGACAGCUUAAAUAAAAAACAUCGGCAUCGAGAUCUCAUCGAGGACGACUACGUCUGUGUUACGUGCGACAAUAUGCCCUACUCCAAAGAGGCAUUCCAGUCAUACACUCAAAACCAUCAUAAGACUGCAGCUAUGUCUCCUGGAAACAGUUACAGAAUGUUUCCUGGAAACCAACAGAUUCCGGUUUCUUCACCGUGUAAAAAUUACCAAAGACAUAACAGCUUUGAACCUCAAUGUGUAAACACAAGGUUGCCUGGAUACGAGCAUGAAAGUCCCGACCUUAAACGACAGCGCUCCAUGCCUCUGUCUGACAGUAUGAUGGUACGCGGACAUGAUAGUCAUUCUCAAUACUAUCGUGACAUGGAACCGAUGGACCACGCCCCUUCGGUUCGAGAAGAUCCAGUUCCACCCGGGGCAGCCUUGAUGAGAGGAAUCGCCCGAUACAACAACCAGCACGGGUUGCCACAUAUGAAUUCAACUGUUCACACCAACAAUUCAGAGAAUCUCUUCAGACAGCCUUUUAACCAGUUCAGUCGCCAGACAGAACGAGCAGGUCUGAAGUUAGAAAUUCCGGCACCAUCACUGAAGUCAGCAGACUUCUUUAGCCCAAGUCCGACACCUACCACGCCAUCUACACCUUUAGGGCACUUACAGAAACUAGCCAAUGAAACGCCAAUUCAGACAGAAGAUGGAUACAAACACCUGAUGAAGCUAAAACGCGACGAGGAAUUACUCCAGGGUAAAGCCGGGCACCUAGAAUCCCCUGAUAGACUAAUGGAAUUUAUGUCUCAGCAACAUCCAAGCAUGAUAGGUCAUGGCCAAGGUCAUCAUGGUGAGGGUCAAGGUCAUAUGAGGUUAAGUCCAAGGAUACCUGGUCCACCAAAUACAUUUCCGUUAAGAUCUAAGUCAUCUUCAAAUUCAGCCGCAACGUCCCCUACAAGUAGUUCUCAGACCCAGCAGUUGACAAAAUCAGCAUCUGUGCCGGGCAACAUGAAGUCAGCAGAGUUCAGAAAAGCAUUUUGGCAUAUAAAAGUGUUUGUUACGUAUGCAGCAGACGACAAAAAACAUACACAGCGUGUAUUGAGUUUGUGUAAAUGUCUGGAGAAAAAUGGCUUCACUUGCUGUGUUGACAUAUUCCAUAGAAAACUGCCCAUAGAAGAAAGACAUAAUUGGUACCAAAACAGAUUUGACGAGGCUGACUUUAUUCUAGUUGUAAUGUCACCGAAGUACAGAAUGGAAGCGGACUCUUGCGAGAUGGAAAACGAUGCAGACGACUCGGACAGUGUUGACAGCGACGGAGAAAACGACUUAAACAACCGGCCAUACCGACUUCAUACCAAAAAUAUUUACCGACUAAUGUACCGGGAAUAUAUCCAAAGUAGUCAGAGAUGUAACCGGUUUGUGCCAUUACUUUUCCCCGGUAUGGUGCAGGAUAUUAUUCCAAACUGGAUGUUAGAUAAUUACAAUAGCUUGUUUUAUUACUGGCCUAAGCAGUAUAAAGAUUUACUAUGGAUGUUGACAAAACCGGAAAACCGUGUACCGGAACAUGUUACGCCACCCGUUAACCGGUGCAUUCAAGACAAUGAUGAUGCUGGUACGAAUGGAACAGAAAAAAGUGCGGAAUCAGAGUGAGGAAGUAAAGUCCUUUUGAAAAAUGAUUAAAAAUUAUCUAAAUUGAAUGAACAGAAAGUACAUUAUUUUGACAUUGUAGUAGUGCUUAUGUUGGAGAAAAACCCAGGAAAUUAUGAAGCUUAUCAUAAAAUACGUAUGGGCAUUUUUUUUAUGUAGUAAAGCUUGUAUGUACAAACAAAAGAUAAAAUUUUUAAUGUGAAAAUUUAUGUCCAGAUUAAGAAUUCAAACCUCUGGCAUUAUAAUUUGUUGUGUCUGGUUACGAUAUGAAUACAAAAGUGUUGCUUUGAAUUCUUGGCGUAUUAAGGUAGCAGCAUAACAAAUUUAAAGACUUACAUUAGUUACAACCAUGUUGUACUGUAGAAUGUUUGAGGUAUUGUGCGAUUUAAAUAAUUGUUAGAUUCAUGUAGCUAAAAUCGUGAUAUUGUUUGUAAAGUGUUCACGUUACCCUGUUAGAGAUGUAAUUAUUAGUGAUAAACACCUUGUGCUAAACCAAAACUUACAAGAAAAUCACCAAAGUUUGUUGUUUAAUUUUAGCUCACCAUGGUAACGGAGAGCCUAUAUUGAUCGCUUACUGUCUGUUGUCCGUCCUUUUAUUGUAUACCAGUCGACACUUCUUUAAACGACAUCUCCUCCAAAUCCACUAGGUCAAUAUCAUCAAAACUUCAUAGGAUUGUUCCUUGGGGUACCCUCUUUCAAAAUUUAUUUUAAGAAAUGUCAUUUCAUGCAGAACUAUGGUUGGCGAGGCAGUCCACUACAGGAUGGGUCACCUGUUUGAAAAUAUACGAAAAACAUCAAAUGACGUUGUAGUUAAAUCUGUUGGUCAGAAAUUGAUAUAAUUAAACAGAAACAUUUCCAAGACUGUCAGUUGGGGUUGUGUUUCCCAUAUUCAUAGAGAAAACUUUUCUUAUUUUUGUCACUCUUUCUAUAAAUUCUGGUGAGCGAUAUAGGAUCAUCUUGGCAUCUUGUUAAAUUUUAAGUUAUUAUAAUUAUAUAUUGUAUAUAUUGAAUAAAUGCCAAAUGAAAAUAAAACAUUUAGAAAAUAGACAACUGCCAAUAUUGGCCAAGUCAGAUAAAAGACUGGUCUUUGUUGAUAGGUGACCACUGCAAAUAGAGUUUGAUAUUUUAGAUGUUAGUGUUUGAAAUUUGUCUUUUUUUAGUUUUUCUUUUAAUAUUAAGAAUAUUAAUAUUACGUCUAUUACAAUACAUUUUGUUAUUUGUUUGUGGUUUUAAGUCACAACUUAUCUUUAAACCAGUUUUUAAAUUUUGAAUGGAUAACUUUUUACAUAUAGAUUAAAUUGUAGGAGUUUUUUACAUAUAGAUAGGAGUAAGGCUAUUUCCCUACAUGGUUAUAUGUUUUGUUCUGCCAUUUUUCUGUCAUAAUAGUGCUAGAAUAGUAUUCAUAAAGUGUUGUUAUUCAACCACCUUUAAAAAAUUGUUUGUUUGCCAAGUUUGACUUGUUUUCUUUAGAUUGGAUAGUUGGUUAAAUUUUGUUUUCACCCAUUGAUUAACAGGUUUAAUAAAAAUACAAAAUAUAAGUGGUUAAGUGAUAAAAGCCAGAAGAAUAUUUAUGUUUCAACACAUGCAAAUGUUUUGGGGGUUCUUUAGGGGCUCUGAAACAUGAAAAGUAGCAGCUUACAGGUCCAGAAACCUUAAAAGGAAAAAGAUAGUUUUCCAUAAAAAAUUUCGUACAAGCAAAAUUUUGGUGAUCAGGCCACAAGUGGCAAGCAAACAAUUUUUUUAUAAUCAGCUUAAUAAUAUUAGGACUGCUAGAUAGGUAACAUUAUGCCUGUAAGUCAGACUCAUGUCAACUUUAAACAUUGACUAGAUUUUUGUUCAAACGGGACUGCCGUGUUAAACAAGGUCAAGGUCACAAUAAAAGGUUACAGCUUUGUUUGAAAACAAAAUUUAAGAUAAGAAGUAUCAAAACAAAUCUGAAAAGCUAAAAUUUCAUGUUGCGUAAACAUGGACAAGUUUAGUUUCUUUGCCUACUUGGCAAGUAUAACACAGGAAGAACAGACCGUAAUUUUUCAAGGUUAAAGACACUUGAUUAUGAUUUCUAUUAUAAGGUCAAGGUCAGAAACAGAACUUAAUACUGAGUAGACACAGAAACGUUCUGUAUCUGUAUGGUCAGUAUCCCACAAGGUCAGACAAGAUUGCAAGGUCAAGGACACAUGUCAAGGUCAAGGACACAUGUGUGUAGGUCAAUAGUGGAAUGCACAAAAGUGGAACUUAUAUAUCCAAGGUCACAGUUCAUAUUCAGGCCUUUAUUUUGCAUAG